GCGAUGCUCUUCUGUGGAUGCCGUUUUCAGAAGAAUCUUCCCAAAUAUUGUACCUGAUGUAUCACAUUAGACACACCAGAUUGGGUUGCAUCAGCAGUGUUGCAUUACAUCACAUCACCGAGCUUCCCAGUCCCAGCUCAAACACCGAGGAUUUCCUGCCACCAUAAAGCUGUAAUUGCUGAAUUAAUAACAGCAGGUUUUGAAGAGUGACUGCACCACUCUCUGACCCAGAUCAGGGGCCAUCCAUGCCCUCCAGAGGAGCUUCUGUGAUUCCCUCUUGGAGAUGCAGGUCUACCAGCCAAGACAAGGGAUUUAGAAGAUGAUUGGGAUGUCCACCAACUUCACCAUUAACACAGAAGAUGGCACCUGGAUCAUUGCAAUGCUUUGGAAAGCUUUUCUGAAUGCUUUUAUUUUAAGAGGAAAAAAAAAUCCAACUUUUUCUUCCGAAAACGCAGAGAUGCCAGUGAUACCAGGUAUCUGUGGAGGUUUCUGCCCAGUAGUACCUUGGCUGACACCAGAGAGCAAGCAAUAGACAAAGAUUGCUGCUCCAGCUGUUAUUUUGCUUGUUGGGCUGCACGAUGAGAGAAGACAAAAUCAGGGUCUCUUGCCUGUUUUCGGCACAGAGGAGACGUUCCAUGUGUGGAACAGCUCACAGGCUGGCAGGGUCUGUCAGACCUGCCCUUCUAACCCACAGCUCAUGCCACUAUUGAAUUCCUGCUUGGUCCAGAGUGCAAAGUCUUUGUGGUUUCACAGUCAAUACUCAGUUGUUCAUGGUGGCUUUACAAGCAGGAUUUCAGUAGCAACAUUUUGUUGUCUGUGAGGCCCUGAAUCCGUGGUGUCUAUCAAACCAGCUGAAUUCUGCUUAGAAGCAAUUAGUUCUGUGAGCUGCAAAGACAACAGCAUUUCCAGAGCCCGUGUCCUGCAUUUAUCUCUGGAUAAAUGGAGAGCUCAUUUGUCUACUUACCAAGGUGCCUUUUUCACAAAAUUCGUAGGAAUGGUAAUACCUUGACUAUGCACGGUUAUACUUAUUUAGAGAGGCUUUGUGAUCACAUAAAACUUAAGAAAGCAUAAAAGGAAUCAAUUUUCUUGGAUAUUUGUGGUGCUGGCUGUAUCAGAAAGGAGUGGCAGAACUGGAGUGAAGGGAAAAUGCAUGUCCACAGAUCACAGACAGAAAAGCAAGUGUUUUGAAAUACUUUGAUGGUAACAGGAAUGUUGUCUCCUCUCCAGUGUCGGGGCUUUUGAAAGCUCACUAGGCAGCAAAAUGAAAUGUUUUAUGGUUUUGUCAAGCACAGCACAGCCACUGAUAUUAUACUUGCAAUUUCAUGACCUGGUAAACAGAUACUUUUGUGCUUAAGGGUCUAAAUGUCAGUGGUGUAGAAAACUGAUGAUUAUGCUGCUUUGUGAAAUAGGAGCUUCUUCAGGAGAAAUAUAUCACACCUGAAGCAGCAUCACUUGAUAUUUGCCCUUGUAAAGCAUGACCUUGUGACCGGUGCUUUCAGUGAGAUAAAGAGUGAAGGGAACUGGUGGGAUAGCUGAGCUAGAGAUAUGUUUAUCUCCUGCAGCGUGGGCUGUACAGAAUAUGUGUUGCCUUGUUGAAUGCAGCAAUUCAGCACCACAUGCCAGUAUUGGAUUCUUGUCUUGGUCCAGUGUACAAACUUUCUGGGGCUCAAUACAAUUGCAGCCAAAGCCUGCCAUCUUUGUAGAAGAAAGGCUUUCAGGAACAACCCUUUUUGGGCUGUUGGCUCUGAAAUGAUGGUGUCUGUCAAACCAAUUGAUGAGUUUUCUUGAAGGCUGCAUCGAACAAUCUGCAAGUCCUGUAGAUCUGAUGUAGCUAAUUUUAUAUAUUAAUCAGGGAUAGGAAAGUGUGGCUGUGGGAGAAGGGAGCCCCUGGCUGUGAGUUUCCACAGAAAUCCUUUUGCUUUCAGCAGGGAACGGUAGCUUUGUGCUAUUCCCACAGUGUCUUAUCUAAUGUGUUAUUGACGCCAUUGCAUUUGCUUUCAAACACAGUCAU
Long non-coding RNA from Hirundo rustica (Barn swallow), 2011 nucleotides. RefSeq lists it as uncharacterized. The record is from RefSeq and is a predicted model, not a curated record. The transcript is spliced from 3 exons. Lineage: Eukaryota; Metazoa; Chordata; Aves; Passeriformes; Hirundinidae.